RNAcentral lists this long non-coding RNA (1321 nucleotides) under Ananas comosus (pineapple). RNAcentral describes it as "long non-coding RNA (ACOM_LNC015966)". Lineage: Eukaryota; Viridiplantae; Streptophyta; Magnoliopsida; Poales; Bromeliaceae. The record is from RNAcentral.
GUACACUUUAUUUGUAUCACUUUAAUAUCCUCAAAAUAUUUUUUUUUUGAGAGAGAAAAAUAGCACACUAUCCGUUUUAUUCAUUUAGCAAAUGAAUUUAGCUACAGGGGUUGAGACAACGCGGUCUCAGAAAACAUUGAAGGCAACCGAAACAAAAAAGACAAAUAAAAAUUAAAAUAAAAAACUAUAAAAAAUUUAUACUUGUACUCCUCACUCAAAAUCAAAACACUAAGAGUUGCAAAACUCAGUCCAAUCACUACUCACAUCUCGUAUCCGUCUAAUAGUUAAAAAAGGGUCACAUGAUUGGCUCCUAAAAAUAAUGUUAUUUCUUUCCCGCCAGAUCAUUUACCAACAGAUUACGACCUUACUUAAAUCCCUCGUAGCUGUCCCUUGGCGGCGGUCCCCAACCAGUAGCUCCCAAACACUUCUGACCUCCAUUCUAGGUCUUGGGAUGUGCCUACCUUCUAAGAUGUUGUAUAUAAAAAAUCUACUGAUUACACAUCCGACUAGCAAAUGAUCAGUAGUCUCUAAAUCGUUGUCACACAUCACGUAUUGUGGAUUCCUGGACCAGUCUCUUUUGAGUAAGUUGUCAACCGUAGGUUGGCGUUUCGAAGUGUUAACCAAAUGAAAAUUCUAACUUUAAGGGUGCGUUUGGUUCGCGCUAUCUUUUAAAGAUUCCUAAUAAUCCAAUGGGAAUAAAAAAAUAUGACGGUGUUUGGCUAAACGCACUAAGUAAUCUAGUUGGUAAUAUUGGAUUCACUUGGGAAUAAGAUUCACCCCAAAGUACUAAUCUCAUUUCCUUAAGGAGGGUGGGUAUCUUCAUAUUAAUGGAUUGGGGUAAUCAUAAUAUGUCUAAUCUCUUUCUUUCUUCCUACCCGCCGGCUAAUUGAUAUUAUUUUUCUUUACACUUUAACCUUAUAUCUCUCUCUAAACUAAGCUUUCUCUCUCUCUCUCUUUCUAAAAUUUCAACUCUCUCACUCCCUCUAAUUUCGACUAUAUUUUUCUUNUUUCUAUUUUUUUAAUUAUGCUCUCCCUCUAACUUAUACUCUCUCUCCCUUUUUUCUAAAAAGAUGUUGAAACUUUUGAUAACAUUAUCUAAAAUUAAUUAAAUAAAUAAAUUAAUUAAUUGUAUAAUUUUUGUAAUAUUAAAUAACAUGGCUAAUUAAUAUUACCGUGUGAACCAAACACAGGAAUCCCACAUUCUUAGUAAUAGGAUGAAUAGUAAUAAGAUUCUCGGAUAUCUUUUAUUCCUAGUAAUCUUUUAUAAUACGAACCAAACGCACCCUAAAUGAUAUUUUCAACUCUCAAAAUUUCAGUAAAA